AGAGUUUGAUCAUGGCUCAGAACGAACGCUGGCGGCAGGCCUAACACAUGCAAGUCGAACGAAGUCUUCGGACUGAGUGGCGGACGGGUGAGUAACACGUGGGAACCUAUCCUUUGGCGCGGAAUAACAGAGGGAAACUUCUGCUAAUACCGCAUACGCCCUAAGGGGGAAAGAUUUAUCGCCAAAGGAGGGGCCCGCGUAGGAUUAGCUAGUUGGUGGGGUAAUGGCCUACCAAGGCAGCGAUCCUUAGCUGGUCUGAGAGGAUGAUCAGCCACACUGGGACUGAGACACGGCCCAGACUCCUACGGGAGGCAGCAGUGGGGAAUAUUGGACAAUGGGGGCAACCCUGAUCCAGCCAUGCCGCGUGAAUGAAGAAGGCCCUAGGGUUGUAAAGUUCUUUCACUCGUGAGGAUGAUGACAGUAGCGAGAGAAGAAGCCCCGGCUAACUCCGUGCCAGCAGCCGCGGUAAUACGGAGGGGGCAAGCGUUGUUCGGAUUUACUGGGCGUAAAGGGCGCGUAGGCGGCAUGCCAAGUUGGGGGUGAAAGGCCUGGGCUUAACCUAGGAACUGCCUUCAAAA
This 578-nucleotide ribosomal RNA is filed under the name uncultured Alphaproteobacteria bacterium. RNAcentral's name for it is "bacterial SSU rRNA". It matches the Rfam family "Bacterial small subunit ribosomal RNA", at positions 8 to 632 of the family's 1533-position model. The record is from RNAcentral. Lineage: Bacteria; Pseudomonadati; Pseudomonadota; Alphaproteobacteria.